This 360-nucleotide ribosomal RNA is filed under the name uncultured bacterium. Its description in RNAcentral is "bacterial SSU rRNA". It matches the Rfam family "Bacterial small subunit ribosomal RNA", at positions 411 to 795 of the family's 1533-position model. The record is from RNAcentral.
AAGGCCUUCGGGUCGUAAACCCCUUUCGCCGAUCCAUAUGGAUUGGAAAAGAAGUGCCUGCUAACUACGUGCCAGAAGCCUCGGUAAUACGUAGGGCACGAGCGUUAUCCGGAAUCACUGGGCGUAAAGCGUUUCGUAGGCGGAAUGAAAAGUUGAUAGUGAAAUCCCACAGCUCAACUGUGGACACGCUAUCAAAACUCUCAUUCUAGAAUCUCAUAGGGGUGACUGGAACUGUUGGUGUAGCAGUGAAAUGCGUUGAUAUCAACAGGAACACCGAGGGCGAAGGCAGGUCACUGGGUGAGCAUUGACGCUGAGGAACGACAGCUAGGGGAGCGAAAGGGAUUAGAUACCCCUGUAGUC